GUACACUCCUACGGGAGGCAGCAGUGGGGAAUAUUGGACAAUGGGCGCAAGCCUGAUCCAGCCAUGCCGCGUGAGUGAUGAAGGCCCUAGGGUUGUAAAGCUCUUUCACCGGUGAAGAUAAUGACGGUAACCGGAGAAGAAGCCCCGGCUAACUUCGUGCCAGCAGCCGCGGUAAUACGAAGGGGGCUAGCGUUGUUCGGAUUUACUGGGCGUAAAGCGCACGUAGGCGGACUAUUAAGUCAGGGGUGAAAUCCCGGGGCUCAACCCCGGAACUGCCUUUGAUACUGGUAGUCUUGAGUUCGAGAGAGGUGAGUGGAAUUCCGAGUGUAGAGGUGAAAUUCGUAGAUAUUCGGAGGAACACCAGUGGCGAAGGCGGCUCACUGGCUCGAUACUGACGCUGAGGUGCGAAAGCGUGGGGAGCAAACAGGAUUAGAUACCCGAGUAGUCCCA
Molecule: ribosomal RNA, 450 nt
Filed under: uncultured organism
Description: partial 16S ribosomal RNA
Rfam family: Bacterial small subunit ribosomal RNA
Source: RNAcentral